ACGCUCGACACCUACGGGAGACAGCAGUGAGGAAUAUUGGUCAAUGGGCGCUAGCCUGAACCAGCCAAGUAGCGUGAAGGAUGAAGGCUCUAUGGGUCGUAAACUUCUUUUAUAUAAGAAUAAAGUGCAGUAUGUAUACUGUUUUGUAUGUAUUAUAUGAAUAAGGAUCGGCUAACUCCGUGCCUGCAGCCGCGGUAAUCUGAGCGGGCUGGCAAGGC
This 218-nucleotide ribosomal RNA is filed under the name uncultured bacterium. RNAcentral describes it as "partial 16S ribosomal RNA". It matches the Rfam family "Bacterial small subunit ribosomal RNA", at positions 328 to 539 of the family's 1533-position model. The record is from RNAcentral.